RNAcentral lists this ribosomal RNA (253 nucleotides) under uncultured bacterium. RNAcentral's name for it is "partial 16S ribosomal RNA". It matches the Rfam family "Bacterial small subunit ribosomal RNA", at positions 524 to 776 of the family's 1533-position model. The record is from RNAcentral.
GACAGAGGGUGCGAACGUUGUUCGGAAUUACUGGGCGUAAAGCGCGUGUAGGCGGCAACGCAAGUCGGGCGUGAAAUCCCACGGCUCAACCGUGGAAGUGCACUCGAAACUGCGUAGCUAGAGUCCUGGAGAGGAAGGUGGAAUGCUUGGUGUAGAGGUGAAAUUCGUAGAUAUCAAGCGGAACACCGGUGGCGAAGGCGGCCUUCUGGACAGUGACUGACGCUGAGGCGCGAAAGCGUGGGGAGCAAACAGG